UACAGAGGGGGCAAGCGUUGUUCGGAAUUACUGGGCGUAAAGCGUGCGCAGGCGGUUCGCUAAGUUCGUUGUGAAAUCCCUGGGCUCAACCCAGGAACUGCGUCCGAUACUGGUUGGCUUGAAUCCGGGAGAGGGAUGUGGAAUUCCAGGUGUAGCGGUGAAAUGCGUAGAUAUCUGGAGGAACACCGGUGGCGAAGGCGACAUCCUGGACCGGCAUUGACGCUGAGGCGCGAAAGCCAGGGGAGCAAACGGG
Molecule: ribosomal RNA, 253 nt
Filed under: uncultured bacterium
Lineage: Bacteria
Description: partial 16S ribosomal RNA
Rfam family: Bacterial small subunit ribosomal RNA
Source: RNAcentral